Molecule: ribosomal RNA, 253 nt
Filed under: uncultured bacterium
Lineage: Bacteria
Description: partial 16S ribosomal RNA
Rfam family: Bacterial small subunit ribosomal RNA
Source: RNAcentral
UACGUAGGGUGCAAGCGUUAAUCGGAAUUACUGGGCGUAAAGCGUGCGCAGGCGGUGAUGUAAGACAGAUGUGAAAUCCCCGGGCUCAACCUGGGAACCGCGCUUGAGACUGGCAUGCUCGAGUUCGGGAGAGGAUGGUGGAAUUCCCAGUGUAGAGGUGAAAUUCGUAGAUAUUGGGAAGAACACCGAUGGCGAAGGCAGCCAUCUGGACCGACACUGACGCUGAGGCACGAAAGCGUGGGGAGCAAACAGG